CCUACGGGUGGCAGCAGUGGGGAAUAUUGCACAAUGGGGGAAACCCUGAUGCAGCGACGCCGCGUGAGUGAAGAAGUAAUUCGUUAUGUAAAGCUCUAUCAGCAGGGAAGAAAAUGACGGUACCUGCGUAAGAAGCCCCGGUUAACUAAGUGCCAGCAGCCGCGGUAAUACGUAGGGGGCAAGCGUUAGACGGAUGUACUGGGUGUAACGGGAGCGUAGGCGGCAGUGCAAGUCUGGAGUGAAAGGCGGGGGCUCAACCCUCGGACUGCUCGGGAUACUGUACGGCUUGAGUGCAGGAGAGGUAAGUGGAAUUCCUGGUGUAGCGGUGAAAUGCGUAGAUAUUAGGAGGAACACCAGUGGCGAAGGCAGCUUACUGGACUGUAACUGACGUUGAGGCUCGAAAGCGUGGGGAGCAAACAGGAUUAGAUACCCCAGUAGUC
This 440-nucleotide ribosomal RNA is filed under the name uncultured bacterium. RNAcentral's name for it is "partial 16S ribosomal RNA". It matches the Rfam family "Bacterial small subunit ribosomal RNA", at positions 338 to 795 of the family's 1533-position model. The record is from RNAcentral.